ACGGAAGGCAGCAGUCGGGAAUUUUGCGCAAUGGAGGAAACUCUGACGCAGUGACGCCGCGUGCAGGAAGAAGGUUUUAGGAUUGUAAACUGCUUUAGACAGGGAAGAAAAAAGACAGUACCUGUAGAAUAAGCUCCGGCUAACUACGUGCCAGCGGCCGCGGUAAUACGUAGGGAGCAAGCGUUAUCCGGAUUUAUUGGGUGUAAAGGGUGCGUAGACGGGAAAAUAAGUUAGUUGUGAAAUCCCUCGGCUCAACCGAGGAACUGCAACUAAAACUGAAUUUCUUGAGUGCAGGAGAGGAAAGCGGAAUUCCUAGUGUAGCGGUGAAAUGCGUAGAUAUUAGGAGGAACACCAGUGGCGAAGGCGGCUUUCUGGACUGUAACUGACGUUGAGGCACGAAAGUGUGGGGAGCAAACAGGAUUAGAUACCCUGGUA
Molecule: ribosomal RNA, 435 nt
Filed under: uncultured Oscillospiraceae bacterium
Lineage: Bacteria; Bacillati; Bacillota; Clostridia; Eubacteriales; Oscillospiraceae
Description: bacterial SSU rRNA
Rfam family: Bacterial small subunit ribosomal RNA
Source: RNAcentral